RNAcentral lists this ribosomal RNA (431 nucleotides) under uncultured bacterium. RNAcentral's name for it is "bacterial SSU rRNA". It matches the Rfam family "Bacterial small subunit ribosomal RNA", at positions 925 to 1341 of the family's 1533-position model. The record is from RNAcentral.
AGCCUACAACGAGUGGUGGAGCAUGUGGUUUAAUGCGAUAAUCCGCGCAAAACCUUACCAACCCUUGACAUAUUGAAAAAUAAUUUAAAUUAAUAAAUUUCUUUACAGGUGUUGCACGACUGUCGUCAGCUCGUGUCGUAAGAUAUUUGGUUUAUUCCUUUAACGAGCGUAACUCUUAUCUUUAAUAUUAAUUUGUACUUUUAUUUUUGGUUUUUUAAAAUACAAGCUUUAAAGAGACUGUCAAUGACAAAUUGAAGGAAGUGAGAAUUAAGUCAAGUCCCUGUGGCCCUUAUGGGUUGGGCUACACACGUGCUACAAUGAAAAUUACAGAAAGUUACUUUUGAUUUAAGUAAUUUUGUUAAUCUUUAAAAAUUUUCGUAGUUCGAAUUAUAAGCUGCAACUCGCUUAUAUGAAGGUGGAAUCACUAGUAA